CAUUGUUAAAUGCAUUUUAUUUAAUAAUUUUUUGUUCUCGUCAAACCAACAAAACCCAAACUAUUUACACUUUUUAGGUUAUUUUUCUGAAUGCAUUUGUUUUUAUGUUACUUAUCUCUAAAAUAUUCAAAACGUUUAAGCGAUGGAACUGAGCCGACCAUUUGGGUGAAAAAGAAAAUGGAUAUAAUUUGAUCAAAAUCGGUUUGUUAAUGAAUCAUACAUUUUUAUGGAAUUCAUACAUCAAAGGCAUAACAAUCUCACCCAGGGGCAUCACAGUGCCAAAACAAUAAUCACUUUGAACUUCAAUGAUUAACAGAAAGACAGAACAGACCGAACUGUUCACCUACAGGUGACCAACAAUUACUCCAACAAAGACAAUGCCAACUUUUAAAAAAUGAAACACCCAAAUAUAACUCAAGAGAAUAAUAAUUUAGAGACAGCUACAUAUUAACAGUUCACUGCAAACCAGUUUAUGGAGGGCAUUCUUAUCCCGCACGGAUGGAGUUGGAAGAUUGAAGUCAAAAUCCACAGUAUUCAUAAAAUACUUCAGUGACAUUUUAGAUAUUCCUCCAGUUGCAUUAACUAAUAUAUCAACUGAUCAAAACUAUCAUAUAUAUAUGGCACCCCCCCCUUAUUCAUAUAUAUAACAAACAUGUUCCACUCAAAGUAGAGGGUCUCAUCUCCCAAAGUUAAUAUUCAUUUGUUUGACCAACCGAAGCAGUUGGAAAACACUUACAAAACAAUUCAUCCAUUCAACCUGACUGACAGGGGAAGAAUUGAGCUUCUCCAUUGAAAACCUGGUUUCUAUUAAAGAGACAGACAAACCCAUGAUCAACUGCAUAGAUGGCAUACAUACAAGUAACAUACACAGCCAUUCAAUAACGUUAGUAAGAUGCUUCUAAUAUACGAGGACAUAAUCUGCACAAUGGUCAGUAAUCAAAGUGUCAAAUAGACAAUCCACAAAGAUAAUCUACUCAGAGGACCACCAAGAAGAGAUAGUGCCCUCUCAUUAUUGGAACAGUGAAGCAUUUUUUGUUCUUAUGGUAUAGACUCCAAAGGUUUGGAUUUGAAAUCGAACAAUUACUACGAGGUUAAACUAUACAUUCUCCGAUUUUAUUUGAGGGCAUUUGUGUACAUAUUGGUUUCACCAUUUACAAAUGACAACACUUUUUAUACAUCGUCCCAAAAGUAUUGGGACAAAUUCACUUGUGUGUAUUAAAGUAGUAAAAAGUGAAAUAUUUGGUCCCAUAUUCAUAGCACACACACAAUGGCUACAUCAAGCUUGUGACUAAACAAAUUAGUUGGAUGCAUUUGCUGUUUGUUUUGGUUGUGUUUCAAAUUACUUUGUGCCCAAAAGAAAUUCAUGGUAAAUGUGUUGGGUAAUCACUUUUUAUUGUUAAUAAGAAUGUUUACAAACACUUCAUGAAUGUGGAUGCUACCAUGAAUACUGAUAAUUCUGAAUGAAUUGUGAAUAAUGAGUGAGAAAGUUAAAAACGCACAAAUAUCAUACCCCCCAAAAACGCUAACCUCCUGUUAUUGUAUUGGUGAGCAUGUCUUGGGGGUAUGAUCUCACUCAUCAUUAUUCAUGACUCAUUCAGGAUUAUCUGUAAUAAUGGUAGCAUUCACAUUAAUGUAGAAGUGUUUAGAAACAUAAUUCUUAUAUUCCUAUUUACAAUAAAAGUGAUUCCAAAUGACAACACAUUUACCAUUCAUUUCUAUUGGGCACAAAUUAAUCUGAAACAACCAAAACAAACAGCAAAUGCAUCCAACAAGUUUGUAGUCACAUUGCUGAUGUAACCAUCGCGUGCUAUGAAUAUGGGUCCAAAUGUUUCACUUUUCACUACAUUAAUACACAUAGGUGAAUUUGUCCCAAUACAUUUGGUCCCUUGAAAUAGGGGUGACUAUGCAUAAAGAGUGUUGUCGUUUCUAAAUGGUGGAACCAAUAUGUACACAAAUACCCUCAAAUAAAAGCAGAGAACCUAUGCUUUAACCUCAUAAUUGUUUGAUUUAAAAUCAAAACUUGUGGAGUGCAGAGCCAAAAUAAGAAAUGCUUCAACAUCCCAAUAACUACAGAGGGCACUGUAUAUCCUUCAUUUUAAAUGGGUGGUCCUCAAUAGGAUAAAAACACUUAUUUCAAAUCAAGUCUCAAACUGUCAAAAAUCAUUGGGUCAAAAAAUAAAAAAGUAAUAUGUAGUGGGGCACUGUGUAGAACUGUAAAGGAACAUAUGGAUCUAUUUAACACACCCUUCCUGGUCAGCUCAGCUCCAUAAUACACAGACUUCAGAUUCCUCAGCCUGCAUCUUCAGCUACAUGUCUGGGCAUUUAAAACUGGAUAACAGAACAGUUAAUCUUGCUUUGAAAAACCAUCAGUCUUAAGCAUUGUCCUCAGGGAUUGCCUUCAGUUCUACUUUGUUGCCAUAGAUGCUGGACAGAAAUAAAGUAACAUACAGCAGUAUUGUUGGCCAAUAAAACACUGUCCCGGUAAGUAGAACAUUGACACCACCCCCCUUAUUCAAAUGCUAUAGUCCUUAUCAGGUUCUCCAACUGGCUUUCACUCUUAUUGUUAAUAUAUGUUUUCGAGUUUGCCACACAAAGGCGGAUCGCCACAGUUAAGGCAUGUUGAACAGAAAAAAGAAAACACUUGUAAUAUUAUUUACAUAGCAGUCAAAACUCAAGUGUAUGGUAUUGAGCCUUUCUGCUUUUGUGUGUGUUUCAAUGUGGUUUUCAAGAAUGUGGUUCUUGAAAAGAGAGUAUUUGAGAAUGCUGCAUGGACAUGCGUGUAAAGCUCUGUGUGUGUGUGUGGUCAGUUUCUCCACUGUUCCAGGUCCUCUGCUACUGCAGCUGAUGUGGUUCCUGCUCUUUCACCACCAGGGGUGCAGAGGAGGAGCGGAAGAAGAAAGGGCUGAGGAGCUUCUCCAUCUCCUCUCCAGCAGAGGGCAGCUAGGAACAGUGAGGACCCUGUGGAAUGAGAGCCAGUGAGAAUGAUGGGAGACAGGGAGAGAGGGAGCGAGAGCAAGAGACGGAGAGGAAUGAAGAUUUCCAAAUGAAACAAUACUGAAAACAGAAUUUUCAUAAAGACAGU
Long non-coding RNA from Oncorhynchus tshawytscha (Chinook salmon), 3082 nucleotides. The record is from Ensembl. Lineage: Eukaryota; Metazoa; Chordata; Actinopteri; Salmoniformes; Salmonidae.